RNAcentral lists this ribosomal RNA (82 nucleotides) under Heterosigma akashiwo. Its description in RNAcentral is "partial Eukaryotic large subunit ribosomal RNA". The record is from RNAcentral. Lineage: Eukaryota; Raphidophyceae; Chattonellales; Chattonellaceae.
UGUUAUCAUAAUGAUAACUGGGGUUAGACAGCCAAGGUGAUCACAGCUAUACUUUUUUUUUAUUUUUUUCUGCUUGCUUUCC